CCAACAUCAAUUAGUGCCCCUCCUCUCAGCCUCUGCUUCCCUACCCCACAACUGGUCUUCUGGACUCAAUAGCUAUGAAGAAGAUUUCCACACUCACACCAGGUAGCUUUACCAGCUCUGGGGGACACGGCACACUACUCCAGCCUUGACAAACAUCUGUGAGCAUCACACUCACACAGACACAUGUAUACAGGAUAUAGAGGAAUCAACCCCGAACCGACUAGGACUAACUUCCUGCUGGCUACCUUUCAAGGAAGGUGUUACACUGGGGAGAAAAGGAUAUUGGUGGCUUUACCUGAUGCUGGACCCCGUAAUACUGACUAACAGGCAAGAUGUGCCCCCCCCCAUGCAGUAGUGAUGUGAAUGUUUCGGGUAAUCAGCCACUUUCUUAUUGGACUUGAAGCCUGCUUCACAGCAGGGAAUCCACACCUGGUACUGUAAUCCUGUUCAAAAGCCCAAAGCUAGGGAGGCCCUUAGUAAAAAGGAAUCUACCACUGCCAUUGGCUGAAUGGAAGUGUUGCCAAACUGCUUUCUAAAUAUUUAUGCUUGUACACAUGGAUCAGUGCUGCUCCAAUCUCAUCAG
This 583-nucleotide long non-coding RNA is filed under the name Cricetulus griseus (Chinese hamster). RNAcentral's name for it is "lncRNA (ENSCGRG00015034863.1)". The record is from RNAcentral. Lineage: Eukaryota; Metazoa; Chordata; Mammalia; Rodentia; Cricetidae.